This 370-nucleotide ribosomal RNA is filed under the name uncultured organism. Its description in RNAcentral is "bacterial SSU rRNA". It matches the Rfam family "Bacterial small subunit ribosomal RNA", at positions 526 to 896 of the family's 1533-position model. The record is from RNAcentral.
CGUAGGGUGCAAGCGUUAAUCGGAACUACUGGGCGUAAAGCGUGCGCAGGCGGCUUUGCAAGACAGAUGUGAAAUCCCCGGGCUCAACCUGGGAACUGCAUUUGUGACUGCAUGGCUCGAGUGCGGCAGAGGGGGAUGGAAUUCCGCGUGUAGCAGUGAAAUGCGUAGAUAUGCGGAGGAACACCGAUGGCGAAGGCAAUCCCCUGGGCCUGCACUGACGCUCAUGCACGAAAGCGUGGGGAGCAAACAGGAUUAGAUACCCUGGUAGUCCACGCCCUAAACGAUGUCAACUGGUUGUUGGACGGCUUGCUGUUCAGUAACGAAGCUAACGCGUGAAGUUGACCGCCUGGGGAGUACGGCCGCAAGGUUG